Perca fluviatilis (European perch) is the source of this 787-nucleotide long non-coding RNA. RefSeq lists it as uncharacterized. The record is from RefSeq and is a predicted model, not a curated record. NCBI's taxonomy places the organism in Eukaryota, Metazoa, Chordata, Actinopteri, Perciformes, Percidae. The transcript has 3 exons.
GAUUUGUUCAAUCAGAGUUUACUCUCGGAGCGUCGUCAAGGCAGCUUAUGGCAACAUGCUAACAUGCUAACAUGCUAACCCACCGGGAAUGUUUACGGUUGAAAAAAACGGACACGGUAAAACAAAAAGACCCAGAAAAGAUUCCUCUGCGAGCGAAGAUCGGCCGCACGGCCUGAUGGGAAACUGAGGAGGAAGUUAGUGAACUUUUGUGAGCAGUUUAACGGUUCACCUGUUGCCUCUGCUAGCUCUGCUGCUAGCCUGCUAACGGCUAACAGAGCUGCUGGCAGUUUGAAAAGUUUGCGAAGAUAGAGACGCCGGGGAUUAGACGGAGCCAUAGGGCCGCCGGGGAUUAGACGGAGCCCUAGAGAGGCCGGGGGUUAGACGGAUCCAUAGUGAGGCCGGCAUUAGACGGAGCCAUAGAGAGGCAGGGGUUUAGACGGAGCCGCAGAGAGGCCGGGAAUUAGACGGAGCCCUGACGAUGGAAGGAGUGAGACACUCCCCGGUUCUGUCCGCUCUGUUCGGGAUGACUGAAGACUCCGAGACGCUGGGAGCCGCGCAGCUUAUUAAAGAGCGUCUGUACUUUGCCACGCUGCGUAGUAAACCUAAGAGUACGGCCAACACUCACUACUUCUGCACCGAUGAUGAGUUCAUCUAUGAGAAUUUCUACUCAGACUUCGGUCCUCUGAACCUGGCCAUGUUGUACCGAUACUGCUGCAAACUCAACAAGAAGCUGAAGGUGAGUUUCUGCUGCUGACCCUCCUCUCACAGGAAUGUCCAGAAUGCAACG